This 772-nucleotide long non-coding RNA is filed under the name Coturnix japonica (Japanese quail). RNAcentral describes it as "lncRNA (ENSCJPG00005006572.1)". The record is from RNAcentral. Lineage: Eukaryota; Metazoa; Chordata; Aves; Galliformes; Phasianidae.
CUCUCUCAAACAUUUAUUUUACUAAACCAGUUCCUUUAGUAACUGCGUCAGGAGUGCAAGGUACAAUGAAGGUGCUAUUUAAAUGGAUUGUGCAGCACCACUGUAUGUGGGAAAGACAUGGGAAACAGCUAGACUGAAAAUGCAGCCAAAGACAAAACAUUCCUGCAGUGAUGUGUGUGUUAGACACCAAGGAUGCAUCACCCAGAGGUCCAGAUUUCCUGCACUGACUUGUAAAAGCCAGCAACAAGCUGAGUUGGAGGGCCAGCCACAGGCGGCCCAAGUGGAGGUGAGAUUUUCCAGUGUAUCUCCAAGUACUGGAGCUGUUCUCGUCCCAGAUUCCCUGCUGUUCUCCUUGGCAUUGCCCACUGGGAUUUCCCACUAAGCACAAGGAAUCUUCCCUUGGAAUUCAUCUGCCUGGUAGUGUUAGAGGGCUAUGGGGAGCACUGAUGUAUCAUCUUAUCCAGAACUGCUUUGGUACAGAACCAGAUAUCUUUGCUCUUACUUGACAGAUAUUUUUCUGAACUGUUCAUAAAGAUCCUUAAAAGAUGCCAUACCCAAGUACCUUUUAGCACUGUUUCCACAUCUUCUUUAAUUAGAAUCUAUUCCCUAAAAUCCAGAAAUAUUCACAGUAAGAUUUUUUCUAAUACUUCCUUCUGUCUAAUGGUAAACAGUCUAUCAUCAUUGUACACCAUCAAUGUUUUAUAUAUCAGAGGGCUACAAUCAUACUCUCAGUGAUUUUCUUUCUUCUAAAUAAAUUAGUUUUUAAGCUUCA